UGUUGUUGUUACUUCGCAAAU
This 21-nucleotide non-coding RNA is filed under the name Caenorhabditis elegans. Lineage: Eukaryota; Metazoa; Nematoda; Chromadorea; Rhabditida; Rhabditidae. The record is from RNAcentral.